This 150-nucleotide ribosomal RNA is filed under the name Nesticus gertschi. Its description in RNAcentral is "partial 16S ribosomal RNA". The record is from RNAcentral. Lineage: Eukaryota; Metazoa; Arthropoda; Arachnida; Araneae; Nesticidae.
GCUAAAAUAAGUAAGUCUGUUCGACUUUUAAAAAAUUACAUGAUUUGAGUUCAAAUCGGUGAAAACCAGAUUGGUUUCUAUCUUUAUUAUAUAAUUUAUUAGUACGAAAGGACCAUAAACACUAUUAAUCAAUUUCUUAAUGGCAGAAAA